UUGCUUCGGCAGCACAUACACAGAAAUCAGAACAGAGAUAAGGUUAGCUUGGCCUCUGUGAAAGAAUAACAUGUGAAUUUAUGAAGUAUUCCAUAUCACU
This 100-nucleotide small nuclear RNA is filed under the name Panthera tigris altaica (Amur tiger). Lineage: Eukaryota; Metazoa; Chordata; Mammalia; Carnivora; Felidae. The record is from RNAcentral.